GGAUGAACGCUAGCGGGAGGCCUAACACAUGCAAGCCGAGCGGUAGAGAUUCUUCGGAAUCUUGAGAGCGGCGUACGGGUGCGGAACACGUGUGCAACCUGCCUUUAUCUGGGGGAUAGCCUUUCGAAAGGAAGAUUAAUACCCCAUAAUAUAUUGAUUGGCAUCAAUUGAUAUUGAAAACUCCGGUGGAUAGAGAUGGGCACGCGCAAGAUUAGAUAGUUGGUGAGGUAACGGCUCACCAAGUCUACGAUCUUUAGGGGGCCUGAGAGGGUGAUCCCCCACACUGGUACUGAGACACGGACCAGACUCCUACGGGAGGCAGCAGUGAGGAAUAUUGGACAAUGGGUGAGAGCCUGAUCCAGCCAUCCCGCGUGAAGGACGACGGCCCUAUGGGUUGUAAACUUCUUUUGUAUAGGGAUAAACCUUUCCACGUGUGGGAAGCUGAAGGUACUAUACGAAUAAGCACCGGCUAACUCCGUGCCAGCAGCCGCGGUAAUACGGAGGGUGCAAGCGUUAUCCGGAUUUAUUGGGUUUAAAGGGUCCGUAGGCGGAUCUGUAAGUCAGUGGUGAAAUCUCACAGCUUAACUGUGAAACUGCCAUUGAUACUGCAGGUCUUGAGUAAGGUAGAAGUAGCUGGAAUAAGUAGUGUAGCGGUGAAAUGCAUAGAUAUUACUUAGAACACCAAUUGCGAAGGCAGGUUACUAUGUCUUAACUGACGCUGAUGGACGAAAGCGUGGGGAGCGAACAGGAUUAGAUACCCUGGUAGUCCACGCCGUAAACGAUGCUAACUCGUUUUUGGGUUUUCGGAUUCAGAGACUAAGCGAAAGUGAUAAGUUAGCCACCUGGGGAGUACGAACGCAAGUUUGAAACUCAAAGGAAUUGACGGGGGCCCGCACAAGCGGUGGAUUAUGUGGUUUAAUUCGAUGAUACGCGAGGAACCUUACCAAGGCUUAAAUGGGAAAUGACAGGUUUAGAAAUAGACUUUUCUUCGGACAUUUUUCAAGGUGCUGCAUGGUUGUCGUCAGCUCGUGCCGUGAGGUGUUAGGUUAAGUCCUGCAACGAGCGCAACCCCUGUCACUAGUUGCCAUCAUUAAGUUGGGGACUCUAGUGAGACUGCCUACGCAAGUAGAGAGGAAGGUGGGGAUGACGUCAAAUCAUCACGGCCCUUACGCCUUGGGCCACACACGUAAUACAAUGGCCAGUACAGAGGGCAGCUACACGGUGACGUGAUGCAAAUCUCGAAAGCUGGUCUCAGUUCGGAUUGGAGUCUGCAACUCGACUCUAUGAAGCUGGAAUCGCUAGUAAUCGCGCAUCAGCCAUGGCGCGGUGAAUACGUUCCCGGGCCUUGUACACACCGCCCGUCAAGCCAUGGAAGUCUGGGGUACCUGAAGUCGGUGACCGUAAUAGGAGCUGCCUAGGGUAAACAGGUAAUAGGU
Molecule: ribosomal RNA, 1436 nt
Filed under: Chryseobacterium sp.
Lineage: Bacteria; Pseudomonadati; Bacteroidota; Flavobacteriia; Flavobacteriales; Weeksellaceae
Description: bacterial SSU rRNA
Rfam family: Bacterial small subunit ribosomal RNA
Source: RNAcentral